GACGAAGGUGGCGAGCGUUGUUCGGAAUCAUUGGGCGUAAAGAGCGUGUAGGCGGCCCGGUAAGUCCGCUGUGAAAGUCCAGGGCUCAACCCUGGAAUGCCGGUGGAAACUGUCGGGCUAGAGUCCGGAAGAGGCGAGUGGAAUUCCUGGUGUAGCGGUGAAAUGCGCAGAUAUCAGGAGGAACACCAAUGGCGAAGGCAGCUCGCUGGGACGGUACUGACGCUGAGACGCGAAAGCGUGGGGAGCAAACAGG
Molecule: ribosomal RNA, 253 nt
Filed under: uncultured bacterium
Lineage: Bacteria
Description: partial 16S ribosomal RNA
Rfam family: Bacterial small subunit ribosomal RNA
Source: RNAcentral